GUUUGAUCCUGGCUCAGGACGAACGCUGGCGGCGUGCCUAACACAUGCAAGUCGAGCGAGGAAUGACUGGUAGCUUGCUACUGGUUAUUUCUAGCGGCGGACGGGUGAGUAACGCGUGAGCAACCUGCAUUUAUCAGGGGGAUAACGCAUCGAAAGAUGUGCUAAUACCGCGUAAGACCACAGCCUCACAUGGGGCAGGGGUCAAAGGAGCAAUCCGGAUAAAGAUGGGCUCGCGUCCGAUUAGCUAGUUGGUGAGAUAACAGCCCACCAAGGCGACGAUCGGUAGCCGACCUGAGAGGGUGAUCGGCCACAUUGGAACUGAGAGACGGUCCAGACUCCUACGGGAGGCAGCAGUGGGGAAUAUUGGGCAAUGGGCGAAAGCCUGACCCAGCAACGCCGCGUGAGGGAAGAAGGGUUUCGGCUCGUAAACCUCUGUCCUAUGGGACGAAGGAAGUGACGGUACCAUAGGAGGAAGCCCCGGCUAACUACGUGCCAGCAGCCGCGGUAAUACGUAGGGGGCGAGCGUUGUCCGGAAUGAUUGGGCGUAAAGGGCGCGUAGGCGGCCUGCUAAGUCUGAAGUGAAAGUCCUGCUUUCAAGGUGGGAAGUGCUUUGGAUACUGU
RNAcentral lists this ribosomal RNA (621 nucleotides) under uncultured bacterium. RNAcentral describes it as "bacterial SSU rRNA". It matches the Rfam family "Bacterial small subunit ribosomal RNA", at positions 11 to 636 of the family's 1533-position model. The record is from RNAcentral.